CCCAGUGUGGCGUAGUGGUUUGAGUGUUGGACUAUGACUCAAAAGACCAGGGUUCAAUUCCAAGCUCAGCCA
Molecule: transfer RNA, 72 nt
Filed under: Phrynosoma platyrhinos (Desert horned lizard)
Lineage: Eukaryota; Metazoa; Chordata; Lepidosauria; Squamata; Phrynosomatidae
Description: tRNA-OTHER
Source: RNAcentral